Chrysemys picta bellii (western painted turtle) is the source of this 2363-nucleotide non-coding RNA. NCBI's taxonomy places the organism in Eukaryota, Metazoa, Chordata, Testudines, Emydidae. The record is from RefSeq and is a predicted model, not a curated record.
GAUAAUUCUGCUCUUUACUAGAGUUUUCAACCAGUUUGCCUGUUACUGAAGUUAGGCUUAUUGGCCUGUAAUUGCCAAGAUCAUCUCUGGAGCCUUUUUAAAAAAAAAAAAUCAGUGUUACAUUAGGUAUCUGCCUGUCAUCUGGUAAGCAAGCUGAUUUAAGCAAUAGGUUACAUACCACAGUUAGUAGAGCUGCAGUUUCAUAUCUGAGUUCCUUCAGAACUCUUGGGUGAAUACCCUCUGGUCCUGGUGACUUAUUACUGUUUAAUUUAUCAAUUUGUUUUGAAACUUUCUCUAUUGACUUCUAAAUCUGGGGCAAUUCCUUUGAUUUGUCACCUAAGAAGAAUGGCUCAGAUAUGGGAAUCUCCCUCACAUCCUCUGCAGUGAAGACCAAUGCAAAGAAUUCAUUUAGCUUCUUGUCUUCCUUGAGUGCUCCUUUAACCUUGAUCGUGUCUGGUGGCUCCACUGAUGUUUGGAAGAAUUCCUGCUUCUGAUAUUAAAAAUGUUUUGUGCUGUUAGUUUUUGUGUCCUUUUCUAGUUGCUCUUCAUAUUCUUUUUCGGCUUGCCUAAAUUAUACUUUUACAUUUGACUUGCCGGUUUGUCCUUUUCUCUUUUCCUUAGUAUGCGGUGACUUCCAAUUUUUAAAAGAUGUCUGUCUCUAAUCACCUCUUUUACUCUGUUGUUUUAGCCAUGGUGGCAUUUUUUUGGACCUCUUACGGUUUUUAAUUUGAGGUAUACCUAUAGUUUGAGCCUCUAUUAUGGCGUUUUAAAAAAGGGUUCAGGGUGCCAGUUGUGGUUUCUGAAAACAUGUGAGUAGUAUUAUACCUGAAAAAGUAAGGAGGUACCAGAGGCAAUGAUCUCCUCCAAAUUAUGCAACUGUCCAGUUGGGCAGACUAUUUAGCUUCAAUUUAGAGCUCAUGAAAGAGAAACUCAGGCCUUGUCAACAAAAAGUCAGGUUUUGUCGACAAAACAGUGGAGGUGUACAUAUUGCAAUGCUCCUUCUGCCACAAAACUCUCCUGGUUUCGUGACAAAAUGUGGCAAAGUUAUAUCGACCAAGUGGUAGUGUAGACACCACGCUUGGUUAUGUUGCUGUAAAUGGCCUCCAGGAGGUAUCUCACAAUGCCCAUCCUGACCACUCCAGUCAGCAGUUUGAACUUCGCUGCCCUGCAUCCAGAUAUACAGGCAUCUGGCUCUCCCCCUUUGAAGGCCCGGGAAUUUUUGAAAUUCCACUUCCUGUUUGCUCGGUGCGGAGAGCUCAGAUCGCAUCUUCUUGGCUGACCAUAGCGGCUCCAUACAGCAAACGCUUUUCCGCUUGAGUUGUUGGAUCUGCUGGCAUUGUGGGGAGUGGAGGGUGAGUUGUUGGAUCCGUUGGCAUUGUGGGGACAGGGGGCUCCGCUCCAGCCGUAGGAAUUUUGAUACCUACAGUCUGAUUUCUCGUGGCAUAUUGGAUAAGAGCUAUGAACGGGACAUGCAUCAGUGCUGUGCAAAGAUAAAGGAGCUGUGGCAAGCAUACCAGAAGAUAAGGGAGGCAAACUGUUGCUCUGGUGCUGGGCCAAAGACCUGCCACUUUUCUCAGGAGCUGGACAUCAUCCUCGUUGGUGACCCCACCUCCACCGCCAAGAGCCUGGUGGAUACUUUGGCGUGGCUGGAGAUAGUGGACAGUGGAUGAGGAGCUCAAGUUGGAGGAUGAGGUGGAGCACAUGGCAGAGUCCUCCAGUGGUGUGGCGAGUCAGGACCUCUUUUCCACUCUGGAGGGAUCUAGCUAGUGCCAGCAGGCUGUCUCUGGCACGCAUGAUGCAGGAGAGGAGAGCUCUGAUGUAGCCUUCUGGGGAACCCCUUACACAACGGUGGAAUGCCUCUGCCAGAUAAGGAAGAGCCCAAGGAGGACAUGUUCUGAGAGGUGCUCGAAUCCUCAGAGGCGAAAAAACAAGAACACAGGGAGUGGAGAAAAACUUUGAAGGAGAAAAUUAAUAUAGACAGGCAGUACAGAAAGGAGAGCGAGGAGUGAAUUGUAAUGGGCCAGGAGUGGAUGAUAAAUGUUGGAGGAGUAAACAGAGAUUUUGAAGUCCCUAAAUCAUGCUCCAGGCAGAACACGUGCUUGCUUCCCCUACCUCCCUUUGCAGCCAAUACAGAACUACUUUCUAUGCCCUCCCCAAACUCCUCCCACACAUUCCUUGCAACUUCCUGGAGCAUCUCGGUACCCUGUUCAAUCCACCCCUUUGAACAGCUUUCAAAAUGAUAGCUAGACUUACACACAGCUAUGAGAGCCUACAUUGCCCUGCACUGUUAUCUCCCUUCCCACCAAGCCUUUUAUGUGUGUUGUUAAUUGGUAUUUAAUAAAAACAAACUCUCUGAAAGAUAA